This is a long non-coding RNA of Melospiza melodia melodia, 704 nucleotides long. RefSeq lists it as uncharacterized. The record is from RefSeq and is a predicted model, not a curated record. The transcript is spliced from 5 exons. NCBI's taxonomy places the organism in Eukaryota, Metazoa, Chordata, Aves, Passeriformes, Passerellidae.
CUGCAGCAGCCCAAGGAGAGCAACUGCUCCCAGGGCUGUAUUUAAUAGAAACUGGACUGGAAGACAUGCAAUAACAACUACUGAAGAUAUUUUGGCAGCAUCUCAGAUGACUUCUCGUAAUUAACAUAAGCCAAAUGGGUCACUGGCUACCUGUCUGAGGGAAUUUCUGGCAUGAGAGAUUCUCUCCAUGGAGCUAAAUCAACAGGAAAAUUCAAGGCCAGUUACCUUCCCUCUGAUGCACAGAGCUUAAGAUUGAGUGUGACCUUCAUGCAAGCAACUGUGAAGCAUAGAGCAGUGAGAUCACGGUCCUUCUCCUGAGGCCAGCCUGACCCCUGAGGUGGCACAUCCUAUGCAGAAGCACUAUGGACUUCCAGGAGUUUCAAUGUUCUUCUGCUCAAGAAGUUUUGGCUUUGUCAUGGAUAGCAAAUGAAUGACAGGGAUAUUUAUCAAGCCUCUCUAGCCAGACAGAUGUGUAAAGCACAAACUAGAGUCUCAGACAGACAAAUGAUAUACCAAAAUGCCCACUCAUGAAUAACAAUCUGCAAAUCACAAAAAUAAUUUAACAAAAGCCUUCAUGAUAUGCCAAACAUUUCUCACCACUCGGGAGAGAAUUCUCUGGGGGAGAACAAUGUGCCUUGUAAAUACUGAAUUUAUAACAAGGGCUGGAAAUUUUACAGUGACUGUUGUGACUCUAUAUCUAUUCU